AGUGAACGCUGGCGGUAGGCCUAACACAUGCAAGUCGAACGGCAGCACAGUAAGAGCUUGCUCUUACGGGUGGCGAGUGGCGGACGGGUGAGGAAUACAUCGGAAUCUACUUUUUCGUGGGGGAUAACGUAGGGAAACUUACGCUAAUACCGCAUACGACCUACGGGUGAAAGCAGGGGAUCUUCGGACCUUGCGCGAUUGAAUGAGCCGAUGUCGGAUUAGCUAGUUGGCGGGGUAAAGGCCCACCAAGGCGACGAUCCGUAGCUGGUCUGAGAGGAUGAUCAGCCACACUGGAGGUGAGACACGGUCCAGACCCCUACGGGAGGCAGCAGUGGGGAAUAGUGGACAAUGGGCGCAAGCCUGAUCCAGCCAUACCGCGUGGGUGAAGAAGGCCUUCGGGUUGUAAAGCCCUUUUGUUGGGAAAGAAAAGCAGCAGGUUAAUACCCCGCUGUUCUGACGGUACCCAAAGAAUAAGCACCGGCUAACUUCGUG
This 492-nucleotide ribosomal RNA is filed under the name uncultured bacterium. RNAcentral describes it as "partial 16S ribosomal RNA". It matches the Rfam family "Bacterial small subunit ribosomal RNA", at positions 29 to 507 of the family's 1533-position model. The record is from RNAcentral.